Molecule: ribosomal RNA, 207 nt
Filed under: uncultured bacterium
Lineage: Bacteria
Description: partial 16S ribosomal RNA
Rfam family: Bacterial small subunit ribosomal RNA
Source: RNAcentral
AGCGUAGGCGGACUUUUAAGUGAGAUGUGAAAUACCCGGGCUCAACUUGGGUGCUGCAUUUCAAACUGGAAGUCUAGAGUUCAGGAGAGGAGAAUGGAAUUCCUAGUGUAGCGGUGAAAUGCGUAGAGAUUAGGAAGAACACCAGUGGCGAAGGCGGCUUACUGGACGGUAACUGACGUUGAGGCUCGAAAGCGUGGGGAGCAAACA